GCAGUGGUGGCUCAGUGGUAGAAUUCUCACCUUCUACCUGGGAGACCUGGGUUCGAUUCCGGCCAGUGCA
This 70-nucleotide transfer RNA is filed under the name Loxodonta africana (African savanna elephant). It matches the Rfam family "tRNA". From Rfam's summary of the family: Transfer RNA (tRNA) molecules are approximately 80 nucleotides in length. Lineage: Eukaryota; Metazoa; Chordata; Mammalia; Proboscidea; Elephantidae. The record is from Rfam by way of RNAcentral.